This is a non-coding RNA of Haemonchus placei, 46 nucleotides long. Lineage: Eukaryota; Metazoa; Nematoda; Chromadorea; Rhabditida; Trichostrongylidae. The record is from Rfam.
UCAACGGCCCUCUUCAGGGCCACAUAAUACGAAUACCGAGUAUGUG